UUAACCGUGUUCCAGGUGGCCUCACAAAGCAUCAGUUUGGUUCCUUCCAGCCCAUUCCGUACCUCUGUGAUGAAGAACAGCAUCGGUGAGCAUUCUGUGAUGCUCUGCAUCUGGAAAAGGGAGGGCUCCUGUCCACGAGCAUUGAGUGACAACCUCGAACCUGUUUCUUCCCAGCCCACCUGGGAAUCCAACCUGCACUCGGAUUUCAAGGGAGAGGGAAUGUGAAGUGUUUCCUCAUCCAACCUGCCGCUAUCUCUUUAGCAGCGAGCCUCUCUCUCCUCUACGGUAAUUUUCCAUUGUGUAGAAUCAAACCUUAUCUUCAAUUCUUCUCCUCCAUUCUAAUAAUAAGUGUGGCUUCACAAGCGAUUCAUUCACCCAACGCUGCUGAUUGGGACUUCACAGCACUUCAAAGUCCUGCCCACAGGUCCUGGAGGGGGGGGUUAAGUGGAACACAGACAUCUGAUGAAGAGAAAAAUAUCAGGUGGAGGUGUUUGCAAGCUUUAGGUUUCGAGAGGCUCUGAAGGAUCCUGUCACCUCUCCUGGGUCAAGGCUCCUCAGCUUUCCAGACAAACACUUUUCCCGGGAUGUUUUGCCAAAUGCCAUGGUGACUCACCCUUGUCACUCCUCUUCUCUGGGGUAGCAACACUGAGAGGGAAAAACAACUGCUGUUUACUGCCAUGCCCAAAAUGGGCCUUGACACUGCCAGCAGGAUUUGGAAAGACAGAAAUAGAGGAGUGAUUAUGGAGUGCAAUUAAGAGACAGCCCUCAGGAUCCUCCUCCAGAGGAGGAUUGG
RNAcentral lists this long non-coding RNA (793 nucleotides) under Cyanistes caeruleus (blue tit). RNAcentral's name for it is "lncRNA (ENSCCEG00000017799.1)". Lineage: Eukaryota; Metazoa; Chordata; Aves; Passeriformes; Paridae. The record is from RNAcentral.